GUGAAAUAUAGACAUGAUGUUCUCAGAGAGGAGGGACUCAGAGUUCACAGAUCUGACAUGAUCUAAUCGAGUCUGAAAGAGACUGUGGAUGAAACGAUUCAGUCUGACUCUUCUCAGAGUGAACACUUGAACAAUGAAUCUUCAUUCACUUAUUCUGCUCUGUGUCUCAGCAGCUGCUGUCUUUGGAAAUACCAUCAAACCAGACACAACAGAUGUUGGUGCUGAUGAGGGUCAAAAUGUUAAGUUGUCCUGUAGUUAUUCCUCUCCUGGAGGUUCAGAUGCUCUCUUCUGGUACCGUCAGUAUGGAAGAUCAAAACCUGAAUUUCUUGUUUCCACCUUAAGUACUGAAAAAAAGCCUCAUGUAUCUGAUGUAGAUCCAAGAUUCUCUGCUGAAGUUGAAAAAAAGGAACAAAUCCACAUGGAUCUGAUUAUCUCCUCUGCUGCAGUAUCAGACUCUGCUCUGUAUUACUGUGCUCUGAGGCCCACAGUCACAGGAAACACUGUAACUCUGUACAAAAACCCUUCUGUAUUUAAUCCAAUGAGAACAAGCAGACACAGAGACAAAGACUACAAGAGAAUCUUAUCAGAAGAGGAGGAACUCCAGAUCUGA
Megalobrama amblycephala (Wuchang bream) is the source of this 610-nucleotide non-coding RNA. The record is from the annotation of a RefSeq genome assembly. Lineage: Eukaryota; Metazoa; Chordata; Actinopteri; Cypriniformes; Xenocyprididae.